GUCAGUGGCCACAAGGUGGGCACAGCAGGUUGGUAAUUAAUCCUUAGUUUUUAGGGAGAGAUGCGCAUCCUAAGGGAAUUCUGAUGGGGGGGAGGUCCAUCCGUGUCUUUCAGGGCCUCGUUCUUGCCUUUGAGGCAUUCUCAGUGUUUGCGGAUGUACAAUGCAUGCUCCACAGGCCACAUCACGUCAGGCCCUUUUGGAAAAACAAGGUCAGCCCGAAUUAGUUUUGCUCCUCUUCUUAGAAGGACACCAGUCUGUGGCAUCAGGGCCCACCCGGACGGCCUCAGUGAACCGUUAUCACCCCCAUAGGCCCCAUCUCCAGGUGCAGUCAUGUUGGAGGUUAGGCCCUCCACAGGUGAACGUAGGGGGACAUGACUCAGCCCAGGACGGACGGGCUGGCCUGGGGGGGGGUGCGCGCCUGAGGAGAGGGGAGGGCCCAAGCUGGCCGGAAGCGGAGUGUCCACUGGCACUGGGACGUGUGCCCCGCUAGAGACCCUGAGAGCAAAUACGCCGGCCGCAGGAGGAUGACUUCUCUGCUCCAAGUGAACCCUGAAAACGCCUUCUGAUUUGGGGUGAAGCUGAAGAGAUCGGCGAGGACAGGCUGGACGCGGAAAUGCUGGCGGGCCGGCUUUGAUUGCUGGGCUUCAGGCUUUUAUGACCCCCCAACACCGUGGAUCAGCCUCCGGGUCCCUCUCUGCCACACAUGGGACAGGCCGUGUGAUCCGUGCCUCUGCUGCUGCUUCUGCUGUCCCUCUGCCUGGGGAAGCUGGUCACACCCGGGCCACAGCCCUCGCCCCUGGCCUCCCUCCUUCGCGGGUGCCUGUGCAGAGCGGGCUCUGAGCUGAGGCCCCGAGGCCUCUUGCAGUUUGCUCAUCCGCUUGCUACUUCAAGCCUCAUGUGCAAAGCAGGAAGAUGCUAGAACCUCUGCCCAGGCUGAGAGGGGAGGGAAUGUGAAAAGUCCCAGAAGGGCUCGGAAGAUGCCUGACCAGGAAGGUGCUGCUGCCCUCCGGAGUGGAGCUGGGGUCAUGACGGAGCCACUCUGCAUCCCAGUCACC
Molecule: long non-coding RNA, 1055 nt
Filed under: Equus caballus (horse)
Lineage: Eukaryota; Metazoa; Chordata; Mammalia; Perissodactyla; Equidae
Description: lncRNA (ENSECAG00000053830.1)
Source: RNAcentral